UACUCAAAACUUUACAAACAUAUGGCUUAUCAGUCAAUCUCAGCUACAUCAAUUUCACCGCAAUCAUCCCUUUCAAAAUUGCAUUACACAAAAUCAUUGAUCUUCAAUAUCAAGACUUACAUAGUUUGGGUUUCUUAUAUGCAUCCCUUUGGACGGCUUUUUUUGUUCGCCCUUCCAUAAGAUGGCCUAAUAAUUAACUACUUAAGCGGUU
Molecule: long non-coding RNA, 211 nt
Filed under: Elaeis guineensis (African oil palm)
Lineage: Eukaryota; Viridiplantae; Streptophyta; Magnoliopsida; Arecales; Arecaceae
Description: long non-coding RNA (EGUI_LNC055238)
Source: RNAcentral